Molecule: long non-coding RNA, 3239 nt
Organism: Glycine soja
Lineage: Eukaryota; Viridiplantae; Streptophyta; Magnoliopsida; Fabales; Fabaceae
Exons: 2
Source: RefSeq, a predicted model, not a curated record
AAAUAAAACGCUUCAGAAGCGUUAAACUAGAGGGGAUUUCGUGAGAGAGAAAAAAAUCGAGAAAACGCUGAGCAAUGCUUACGCCAACAGCGACAACGCUUAUGCCGCCAUCGAUGAUGCUAGAUGCGACCAAGAGAGGUAUCUCCGACACUAGCAGUUUCACGGCGUUCCUAUUAGUGCACGCGAUUGAGAUGACGAGGGAGAAAGGAUGAAGAAUAAGCGAAAAGAGACGGAAAUGAGAUGCUUCCGCCGGCUGGGCGGCGGAGCACGACGGCGUGGGGCUCUCUCCCUCUUUUUAUUUUUCUGAUCCUGUUUUGUUUCUCUCUCUUUUGAUGUGUGAGCAGAUUUGGAUACUAGAUGGCUAAAUAUAUACCAAAGAAAUCAACAAUAGAGGAGCAGAAAUUAUAUACCAGAUUGUGUAGCCUCAGUUGCUUUGAUUUUCUUGGCCUCUGUCAUUGAGCUUUUCUUCUUCCUCUUCACUCAAAUUUUGAUUUUUAAUUUCUUUCCAAUUUUCUUUCUUUUUCAGAUUUCCAGGCCCCCCGUUUCUUGUCUGUUGUCAUGGUAUUUACAGGUUCAUUGUGUUAAUGUUGCUUGAGGUCACCAGAACAAUAUGGUUACUUGUAGAAGCAAUUAGUACCAUUAUGUCUUUCAGCUUUGAUUAAGGGACUUGGGUGAUUACAGAAGCCAUCUGACUAGUUUGCAUCAUUGGUUUGAUCAAGAGAUAAAUUUGCAGAAAGGGCUGAGAGAAAGAAGACCACCGAGUGCCUUUGCAAAUCCCGCAUCAACAACUGCAAGAGUAUUUACAUAUGAAGAAAUUUUAGAUGCUACAACAGACUUUAACCUAGAAGGUUUGCUAGGUCGAGGGGUUUUUGGCUCUGUGUACAGAUGCCAACUUAGGAACGGCCAGGUAAGUUGUGUUUGCUACUAAAAUGAUUUUGUAUUCACUUCAAUUCUUCGUGUGAUCAAUAUUCUACAUUGUGUGUGACCAUAUCUCUCAUUUUAAAAUCAUUUGGGCUGGAAUCAUCCAAUAAUGUCCAUACAGGAAGUUGCUGUGAAAUAGCUUGACCCAAGUAGCAAACAAGGAGACAAAGAAUUUAGGCAGGAUGUUAACUUGCUGUCUUCCUUAAAUUACCCAAAUUUUGUGAAAUUGAUUGGUUAUGCCAUUGGGGUCUUUGGACCAUCAUAUAUAGGGUUAGAUUGCAUUCUUUAAUUUUUUUUCCAUUUUAUACAUGUAACAAAUUAAGUCUGAGGGAGCCUGUUUGUGUAGAUCAUGAAAAGGAACACCUUGACUUGAGAACAAGGAUGUUGAUAGCAUUUGGUGUAGCAAAGGGAUUGAGGUAUUUGCACAAGAAGGAAGUGAUAUUUAGAGACCUCAAAUAAGCCAACAUCCUCAUGAAUGAGGGUUAUCGUCCCAAGUUGUCAGACUUUAGGACAACAAUUUAUCCUGAUUGUGAAGUAUACAACGAAGUGGGAACCUUUAGUUAUAUGGAUCCCAACUAUGUCAAUAUUGGCCUAGUAACGUUCAGUAGUGAUGUCUACAGUUUUGGAAUGGCAUUGCUGGAACUUCUCACGGGGCAUAAGGUUAAUGAUAGCAAGCGUGAAGGAGGGCAACAAAAUCUUAUUUUGUGGGUAAGUAAGUUAUUAAUAUUAAUUUGAAUAUAAGGUUAUUCUAAAUUAAUGAUGUCUACAGUUUUGGAAUGGUAUUGCUGGAACUUCUCACAGACUCUGCAUCUCCACAUUUUUAAGAAAGGGUUCUUAAGAAGAGGUCGUGCCUAAUUCCAAAACCACAUAAAACAAUAGUUUAGAACAACCUUAUAAGAUUAUGUUGCCCUUUUUGUGGGGUUGUGAGGAUGGGAGAGAGAAAAUAACAUGGGUGAGUUGGAAAAAAAAUUUCUCUCCAAAGGGACAUGGGGUAAAAGACAUCAUUUUUCAAUAUUGUUUUCUUGGCUAAAUGGACAUGGUAUUUAUUUAACAAUAGAGGUGACCUUUGGAAUAAAGUGCUUGAGUCAAAAUAUUUCGGGUGGAUGGGUUUGGGGGAAGGAGGGGCUAGAUCCUUGGGAGUCCAUUUGGUGGAGAGAUUUGAAAUUAGUAUGUGGGGGAGACAAGACAAGUGGUUUGGGGAUUUAAUUGAGUGGAGGGUUGGUGAUGAUAAAAAUAUUAGAUUUUGGGAAGAUAGACGAGUUAGUGAUUUGUCUCUUCAAAAUUCGUUUUUGAGAAUUUUCUCAAACUCGGGAAAAAAGGAGCGGUGGUUGGGAAUAUGGGGGAGUGGAGAGAUGGUAAGUGGGAAUGAGAUUUUGUGUGGAGAAGGGAGUGGUUUGAAUGGGAAAAAAGUAUGGUCGAGGACAUUUGGAGGGUGUUUGUGUUGGUAAUGGAGGGGAAGAUAAUUGGAUUUGGUUAGGGGAUGGUUCAAAUUCAUACACAGUUAAUUCGACAUACAAUAUUUUGUAUGGCACAAGGUUUGAUUCGUCCGAGGUUGACAUUUUAAAAACUUUGUGGGAAAUUAGAAUCCCCCAAAGGUAUCAUUUUUGUUGUGGAGAAUAUUUUUGGAUAGGAUCCCAACAAAAGUGAACCUACAAAAGAGACAAAUCCAACUUCAUGGACAAUAUUUAUUGUGUGCAUUUUGUAAAGAGGUGCCAGAGGAUUUAUCUCGUUUGUUCUUUGCUUGUCCAAUCUCACACAACAUUUGGAAGCGUUGGUAUCACAUCAUGAGAUUAAAUUCUACAUUGCCUCACUUAGCAAUAGAUCAUUCUUGGCAACAUGCACAUAGAUUGGUUGGGAGAAAAGCUAAUGGUUGGUGGGUGGUGUACCAUCAUUUGGAUCUUAUGGAGCUAAUGCAAUGAAAUUGUGUUUGAAGGAAAGGAAUUAUUGUGAGAAAGUUCAUGUGGAAUAAAAUUAUAUAUGUUUUACGUUUGCUCAUGCUUGAAGGCAUUUCAACGAGAUUUUUCUAUCACUUAUCAACUACAGCAAAUUGACCUUAGAGCUUCUUUUGCAAAUUUUAAAUUCAUAGGAUGAUUUAUUAUAACUACUGGUUUGUAUUGCUGAGAGGUGAUGUAUCUUUCUCUAUGUAGUUAUAGUUUGUAUAUAUUAAGAUUCAGCUCCUCAUUUGAUUUAGCUGUAUUUUUUGUUUGUUUUGGUUCACAUUGUCAGUUUAGGCAAUGUUAACAGAACUUAAGAGAUGUAAAUAUUGCUUAUGCACUUCUUGUGCUUUUUAAUAUAAUUUUCAUUGUAAAUAAAAAAAA